AAUGCCGUUGUGUCUGCGGAAGUUAGAGU
This 29-nucleotide small RNA is filed under the name Bombyx mori (domestic silkworm). RNAcentral's name for it is "ovarian small RNA-10833". Lineage: Eukaryota; Metazoa; Arthropoda; Insecta; Lepidoptera; Bombycidae. The record is from RNAcentral.